Molecule: ribosomal RNA, 232 nt
Filed under: uncultured bacterium
Lineage: Bacteria
Description: partial 16S ribosomal RNA
Rfam family: Bacterial small subunit ribosomal RNA
Source: RNAcentral
UGAGCAAUCUGCCCUUUCUCUUCGGAAUAAGCGUUGGAAACGACGUCUAAUGCCGAAUACGACCUCCUUUCGCAUGAUCGGAGGUGGAAAGCUCCGGCGGAGAAGGAUGAGCUCGCGGCCUAUCAGCUAGUUGGUGUGGGUAAUGGCCCACCAAGGCGACGACGGGUAGCCGGCCUGAGAGGGUGACCGGCCACACUGGGACUGAGACACGGCCCAGACUCCGUACGGGAGG